RNAcentral lists this ribosomal RNA (720 nucleotides) under Stenotrophomonas sp. DF17TA. RNAcentral describes it as "bacterial SSU rRNA". It matches the Rfam family "Bacterial small subunit ribosomal RNA", at positions 64 to 771 of the family's 1533-position model. Lineage: Bacteria; Pseudomonadati; Pseudomonadota; Gammaproteobacteria; Lysobacterales; Lysobacteraceae. The record is from RNAcentral.
CGACGGCAGCACAGUAAGAGCUUGCUCUUAUGGGUGGCGAGUGGCGGACGGGUGAGGAAUACAUCGGAAUCUACCUUUUCGUGGGGGAUAACGUAGGGAAACUUACGCUAAUACCGCAUACGACCUUCGGGUGAAAGCAGGGGACCUUCGGGCCUUGCGCGGAUAGAUGAGCCGAUGUCGGAUUAGCUAGUUGGCGGGGUAAAGGCCCACCAAGGCGACGAUCCGUAGCUGGUCUGAGAGGAUGAUCAGCCACACUGGAACUGAGACACGGUCCAGACUCCUACGGGAGGCAGCAGUGGGGAAUAUUGGACAAUGGGCGCAAGCCUGAUCCAGCCAUACCGCGUGGGUGAAGAAGGCCUUCGGGUUGUAAAGCCCUUUUGUUGGGAAAGAAAAGCAGUCGAUUAAUACUCGGUUGUUCUGACGGUACCCAAAGAAUAAGCACCGGCUAACUUCGUGCCAGCAGCCGCGGUAAUACGAAGGGUGCAAGCGUUACUCGGAAUUACUGGGCGUAAAGCGUGCGUAGGUGGUUGUUUAAGUCUGUUGUGAAAGCCCUGGGCUCAACCUGGGAAUUGCAGUGGAUACUGGGCGACUAGAGUGUGGUAGAGGGUAGUGGAAUUCCCGGUGUAGCAGUGAAAUGCGUAGAGAUCGGGAGGAACAUCCAUGGCGAAGGCAGCUACCUGGACCAACACUGACACUGAGGCACGAAAGCGUGGGGAGCAA